Molecule: ribosomal RNA, 456 nt
Filed under: uncultured Leptolinea sp.
Lineage: Bacteria; Bacillati; Chloroflexota; Anaerolineae; Anaerolineales; Anaerolineaceae
Description: bacterial SSU rRNA
Rfam family: Bacterial small subunit ribosomal RNA
Source: RNAcentral
GACGGGCCCCGCACAAGCAGCGGAGCGUGUGGUUUAAUUCGAUGUUACACGAAGAACCUUACCAGGGUUUGACAUGCAAGUGGUAGGAAGCCGAAAGGUGACCGACCCUUCGGGGAGCUUGCACAGGUGCUGCAUGGCUGUCGUCAGCUCGUGUCGUGAGAUGUUCGGUUAAGUCCGCUAACGAGCGCAACCCUCGCUGUGUGUUAUAUGUGUCACACGGGACUGCCGGUCUUAAGCCGGAGGAAGGUGGGGAUGAUGUCAAGUCAGCAUGGCCUUUAUAUCCUGGGCUACACACACGCUACAAUGGCCAACACAAUAGGUUGCUAAGCCGCGAGGUGGCGCCAAUCCAUAAAGUUGGUCUCAGUUCAGAUUGUAGGCUGCAACUCGCCUGCAUGAAGUUGGAGUUGCUAGUAAACGCAGGUCAGCCAUACUGCGUUGAAUACGUUCCCGGGGCUU